GUUUUAAUAAUUUAAAUAAAAUAUCGGUCUUGUAAACCGAAAAUAAGAUGUUCUUUUAAAACU
Molecule: transfer RNA, 63 nt
Filed under: Serrognathus castanicolor
Lineage: Eukaryota; Metazoa; Arthropoda; Insecta; Coleoptera; Lucanidae
Description: tRNA-Thr
Rfam family: tRNA
About the family: Transfer RNA (tRNA) molecules are approximately 80 nucleotides in length. Their secondary structure includes four short double-helical elements and three loops (D, anti-codon, and T loops). Further hydrogen bonds mediate the characteristic L-shaped molecular structure. tRNAs have two regions of fundamental functional importance: the anti-codon, which is responsible for specific mRNA codon recognition, and the 3' end, to which the tRNAs corresponding amino acid is attached (by aminoacyl-tRNA synthetases). tRNAs cope with the degeneracy of the genetic code in two manners: having more than one tRNA (with a specific anti-codon) for a particular amino acid; and 'wobble' base-pairing, i.e. permitting non-standard base-pairing at the 3rd anti-codon position.
Source: RNAcentral